AUUCCCAAUCUUAGGUUCUUCCACUCCUUAUUGUGAUGCCCCCGAUUUUACCGUACACAAAUCAUGCACGCAAAUAUGUACGACCAAGAUGAGGGACUCACGGGAGGAUAUCACAACACAACUCUAGACACAAAUUAAAAUCAUACAAGCUUUAUAUUACAAGCCAGGGGCCUCGAAGGCUUGAAUACAUAAGCUCGAAAGCACAAAAGUCAGCGGAAGCAACAAUAUCUGAGUACAUACAUAAGUUAAACAAGUUUGCCUUAAGAAGGCUAGCACAAAAGUAGCAAUGAUCAAAAAGGCGAGGCCUCCUGCUUGGGACCUUCUAACUACUCCUCAAAUCCGAACUCCAUGUAGAAUCAUCCUCGGGAUCCUCUGGCUCCUGGGCUCCAUCAUAUGAUCGCAAUAACCAGGAAAAGGGGAAAAAGAAGUAGCAAAACAACCGUGAGUACUCAUCCAAAGUACUCGCAAGUAAGGAUCUACACUACAUAUGCAUUGAUAUCAAUGAAAGGGGUAGUAUAUGUGGACUGAAUUGCAGAAUGCCAGAAUAAGAGGAGGAUAGCUAGUCCUAUCGAAGACUACACUUCUGGCAGCCUCCAUCUUGAAGCAGUAGAAGAGAGUAGAUGGUAAGUUAACCAAGUAUCACCACAUAGCAUACUCCUACCCGGUGAUCCUCUCCUCGUCGUCCUGUUAGAGAGCGAUCACCGGUUGUAUCUGGCACUUGAAAGGGUGUGUUUUAUUAAGUAUCCGGUUCUAGUUGUCAUAAGGUCAAGGUACAACUCCGGGUCGUCCUUUUACCGAGGGACACAGCUAUUCGAAUAGAUAAACUUCCCUGCAGGGGUGCAACCACAUUUCCCAACACGCUCAAUCCCCUUUGGCUGGGCACACUUUCCUGGGUCAUGCCCGGCCUCAGAAGAUCAACACGUCGCAGCCCCACCUAGGCACAACAGAGAGGUCAGCUGAAAGCACAAGUGCUCCCUAGGUGGUUUUGAUAAUUGAUGACAACAUAUCUCUUGUUGGAAUAACAUUUUGAUCUACAGAUAAGUUCAACAAUGGAGUGGCAUGGACUAAAGGUUGUGGGAACUGCUUCAAGAUGCUAAGGACAAAGGAUUGGCUAAAGCUUCAAGCUCAAGACUCCUCAUUUUAUAUUUUAGUGAUCCAAGAUCACAUUGAGUCUUUAGGAAAAGCCAAUACUAUCAAGGAGGGAUGAGGUGUUGCUUAAUGAGCCUCUUGCUUCAUGUGCUUAGUGAUAUGCUCCAAAACCCUCAACUACUUUCCCAUAUCCACAUAUGACCUAAACCCUAAGCCAAACUCAGUCCUAACGAUUCUUCCUAUCCGGCGCCACCGAGUUUCACUUGUCAUAAGCCACUACCAAACCCUAGCAAUUCGGUUCUACCGAUAGGGAUCUCGGUCUCACCGAGAUGGGAUUGCAAACUCUCUGUUUCCCUUUCGUAACUUUUCGGUCUCACCGAAAGAGCGAGUCGGUCCCAUCGAGAUUGCAAUGUAAAUUCAGUGUUUCCCCUUUGUAACUUUUCGGUCUCACCGAAAGAGCAAAUCGGUCCCACCGAGUUUGCCUGACCAAUUCACUGGUUAGCUAAUUACCAAAUCCGGUCUCACCGAGUUUGUGUAAUCGGUCUCACCAAGAUUACGUUAUGCCCAAACCCUAACCAUAUCGGUCCUACCGAGUUGCAUGUCAGUCCCACCGAAAAUCUCUAACGAUCACUAGGUUUACAUUUUCGGUCCGACCGAGUUUGUUGAUUCGGUCCCACCGAGAUUGGAAAACUGUGUGUAACGGUUGGAUUUUGUGUGGAGGCUAUAUAUACCCCUCCACCUCCUCUUCAUUCGAAGAGAGAGCCAUCAGAACACAUACACCAUUCCAACUCAUAUGUUCUGAGAGAGAACCACCUACUCAUGUGUUGAGACCAAGAUAUUCCAUUCCUACCAUAUGAAUCUUGAUCUCUAGCCUUCCCCAAGUUGCUUUCCACUCAAAUCUUCUUUCCACCAAAUCCAAAUCCUAUGAGAGAGAGUUGAGUGUUGGGGAGACUAUCAUUUGAAGCACAAGAGCAAGGAGUUCAUUACCUACACACCAUUUGUUACUUCUUGGAGAGUGGUGUCUCCUAGAUUGGCUAGGUGUCGCUUGGGAGCCUCCGACAAGAUUGUGGAGUUGAACCAAGGAGUUUGUAAGGGCAAGGAGAUCACCUACUUCGUGAAGAUCUACAGCUAGUGAGGCAAGUCCUGUGUGGGCGAUGGCCAUGGUGGGAUAGACAAGGUUGCUUCUUCGUGGACCCUUUGUGGGUGGUUGCUUCUUCGUGGACCCUUCGUGGGUGGAGCCCUGUGUGGACUCGCGCAACCGUUACCCUUCAUGGGUGGAGCCCUGUGUGGACUCGCGCAACCGUUACCCUUUGUGGGUUGAAGUCUCCAUCAACGUGGAUGUAGGAUAGCACCACCUAUCCGAACCAUGGGAAAAACAUCCGUGUCUCAAAUUGCGUUUGAUUUCUCCAAACCCUUCCCUUUACAUUCUUGCAAGUUGCAUGCUUUACAUUCUGCUGCUCAUAUACUCUUUGCAUGCUUGCUUGAUAUGUAUUGUGUGUGUUGAAAUUGUGCCUAAACUCCACUUAAACCGAAAAAGCUUAAGAAUUACAACUUUAGCAUUAAGUGUCUAAUCACCCCCCUCUAGACACAUCUACUUCUAGAUCCUACAAGUGGUAUCAGAGCUUUGGUCUCCAUUGCCUUGGUUUCAUCACCAUUGGAGGAAGAUGGAUGUGUCUACAUUAGGGAGUCUUAGACAUAGAGUGCCUAUUCUUGAUGGAGAGUAUUUUCAUGAGUGGAAAAAUGAGAUGCUUGUAAUCUUCAAUCAAUAUCAUUUGAACAAGUAUAUUGCUAGCCCUUGUGCACCUCAUAUUGAUCCUUUGCAUCCUACCCUAGAUAAAGAUAUUGACAUGAUUCGCAAUCUUAGAACUAUUGAGCUCAUCAUUAGAGGAUUGCCCAAAAAUUUGAUUGCUAGUUUGCCUACUCAAAAUUGUGCCUAUACUAUAUGGAAAUUUCUUGAGGAACGAUUUCCCGAUCAUUCCUUGAAAAGUUUGGAUGAAAUUCUCCAUAAAUCUAUUGCCUUGAGUAAGAUGAACUCUAGUGAUCCUAGUUUUGGUAAUUGUCUAUCUGAACUUACCAAUCUUAAGCAUGCUAAAGGAGAUGUUGGAAUCAUUAAUGAUAUCAUAUUCAAAGCUAUAAGAAUUCAUAAAAGUGACCACUUUGGUGAUCAUUUAUCUAAUGAAUUACCCUCUCUAGGAAAUGAUGAGUCACAAGAUCAUGAUGAACAUGAAUAUUAUGAUGAUGAUGAUAGUGACUUCGAUCUUGAUGAUGCAAUGAGACAUUUUGGUCUUAUGGCAAAUCUUCGGGGAUAUGAAUCAGGAGGAAAGGAAUGGGUUCUUGAUAGUGGAUGUACUGAUCAUAUGACCGGAGAUGAAGAGAUGUUUCGUGAGCUUGCUGAAAAUGACGGCCCUCGAAAAUAUGUCACCUUUGGUGAUAAUUCAAAGGGUAAAGUGGUUGGCCUUGGUAAGGUGGCCAUCUCACAUGAUAGUUCCAUUCAAAAUGUCAUGCUCGUUGAAUCUCUUGGCUACAACUUACUUUCAGUAUCUAGACUUGCUGAUUUCGGUUUGAAUGUCCUAUUUACUAAGGUAGAUUGCCAAGUAUUUCAUCGAGACAAUCAUAAAAUGGUCUUUACGGGUAUGCGUAGAGGUGAUCUUUACAUUGUCGAUUUCUCUAAAAAGGCACAACCUAAAACUUGCUUUGUUGCUAAAUCCUCAAAAGGUUGGUUGUGGCAUAGACGACUAGGUCACGUUGGCAUGAGAAACCUUGACAAGCUUAUUAAAGGAAAUCAUAUCCUUGGAGUUAACGAUGUCAUAUUUGAUAAGGAUAGACUUUGCAGUGCUUGUCAAGCAGGUAAACAGGUUGGAGGAAGACAUCCCGUGAAGAACAUCAUGACCACAAGGAGGCCACUCGAGCUACUACACAUGGAUCUUUUUGGUCCCAACGCCUACAAGAGUCUCGGUGGAAAUUCUUUUGGUCUAGUUAUAGUUGAUGAUUUUUCAAGAUUUACGUGGGUGUUCUUUCUUAAUGACAAGUCGCAGGUCCAGAAGAUCUUCAGAAACUUCGCUAGGAAGGCCCAAAAUCAGUUUGAUGUGAAGAUCAAGAAGGUUCGGAGUGACAAUGGAACGGAGUUCAAGAACGCAAAUGUGGACACCUUUCUUGACGAAGAAGGGAUUUCACACGAGUUCUCGGCUACGUACACACCUCAACAAAAUGGAGUUGUUGAGAGAAAGAACCGGACGCUCAUCGAAAUGGCAAGAACGAUGCUUGAUGAAUACAAGACGCCAAAGCACUUUUGGGCAGAAGCGGUUGAGACAGCUUGUCAUGCAACAAAUCGCUUAUAUCUUCACAAGCUACUCGGCAAGACGGCAUACGAGCUUCUCACCGGUAACAAACCCCAAGUUGGAUACUUUCGAGUAUUCGGCUCAAAGUGCUACAUUCUUGACAAGCAUCGUCGUUCAAAGUUUGCUCCUAAAUCUCAUGAAGGUUUUCUACUUGGUUAUGGCUCAAACUCUCACACUUACCGUGUCUACAACAAUUUCACCUGAAAGGUUGAAGAGACGGUAGAUGUGAAGUUUGAUGAAUCUAAUGGCUCGCAAGUAGAGCAAUUGCCAAUUGAUGUAGGAGACAAAGACCCUUCAGAAGCAAUUCAGGACUUGUCCAUUGGCAAAAUUCGCCCAACGGAGGUGAAGGAGAGUACUUCAUCUGUCCAAGUGGAAGCUUCUACUUCACGACAAGGUGAACCAAGAAUCGACACGGAAGCAUCCACAAGUGGGACACACCAAGAUGAAGAAAACGAGGAAAUACGUCAAGACGAACAUCAACAACCUCCUUCUCCACCACGACAAGAGAACGACGACGUCAACAAUGAAGAAGGCCAAGAAGAAGAACAAGAUGAAGAAGAUGUUCAACGAAGACCCAAGCAAAAGCUCUCACGAGUUCGAGCAAGAAUUGCCAAAGAUCAUCCCGUCGAGCAAAUCCUCAAUGAUAUACAAACCGGGAGAAUCACUCACUCAAAAACUCGUUUAGCUAACUUUUGUGAAAACUAUUCAUUCAUCUCUAGCAUUGAACCUAUGAAGGUUGAAGAAGCAUUGGAAGAUCCGGAUUGGAUAAACACUAUGCAUGAAGAGCUACAUAAUUUUGAGAGAAACCAAGUUUGGACAUUGGUCGAGAAGCCCGACAACAACCACAACAUCAUUGGUACCAAAUGGGUGUUUCGCAACAAGCAAGAUGAAGAUGGACAAGUGGUUCGCAACAAAGCAUGUCUCGUCGCCCAAGGGUACACACAAGUCGAAGGUAUGGACUAUGGUGAGACGUAUGCUCCCGUUGCUAGACUUGAGUCCAAUCGCAUCUUACUUGCCUAUGCUAAUCACCAUAAUAUCACCUUGUACCAAAUGGACAUUAAAAGUACUUUUCUAAAUGGUGAAACAGAGGAGGAAGUUUAUGUCAAACAACCUCCCGGCUUUAUCAAUCCUAAGAAACCAAAUCAUGUUUACAAACUUCACAAAGCUCUUUAUGGUCUUAAACAAGCUCCUAGAGCAUGGUAUAAAUGCUUGACCAAGUUCCUUACUACAAGUGGUUUUGAAAUCGGUAAAAUUGAUUCUACUCUUUUUACUAAAAGGGUUAAUGGAGAACUAUUUGUAUGCCAAAUUUAUGUUGGUGAUAUCAUAUUUGGUUCAACUAACCCUCUCUUUAGUGAAAAGUUUGGAAAGCUAAUGUCAGAGAAGUUUGAGAUGUCUAUGAUGAGUGAACUCAAAUUCUUUCUCGGGUUGCAAAUCAAGCAAACUAAAGAAGGUACAUUUGUCCCUCAAACAAAGUACACCAAGGACUUAUUCAAGAAGUUCAAUAUGCAAGAAUGCAAAGGUAUGUCUACACCCAUGCCUACUAGUGGACAUAAUGAUUUAACCAAAGAUGGUGAACCGGUUGAUCAAAAGGUUUAUCGCUCUAUGAUUGGUUCAUUGUUAUACAUAUGUGCUUCACGUCCAGAUAAUAUGCUAAGUGUGUGCAUGUGUGCACGAUAUCAAGCUGCUCCUAAAGAUUGUCAUCUUAAGGCUGUGAAAAGGAUAGUGAGAUAUUUAAUCCAUACACCAAAUUUUGGCAUUUGGUAUCCUAAGAGGUCUUCUUUUGAUCUUGUUGGCUAUUCUGACUCGGAUUAUGCCGGAGACAAGGUUGAUAGAAAGUCCACUUCGGGUACUUGUCAAAUUCUUGGUAGAUCUCUUGUGUCUUGGUCUUCCAAGAAACAAAACUCGGUAUCCUUAUCCACCGCCGAAGCGGAAUACAUUGCCGCUGGUUCAUGUUGUGCUCAAUUACUUUGGAUGACCCAAACUCUUAAAGAUUGUGGGUUUUAUGUGAAACAUGUUCCACUGCUUUGUGACAAUGAAAGUGCUAUCAAAAUUGGUCAUAAUCCUGUACAACAUUCUCGAACUAAGCAUAUUGAAGUUUGUCAUCAUUUCAUUCGAGAUCAUGUUGCUAAGGGUGACAUCAAUCUUAAGCAUGUUCGCACCGAUAAGCAAUUAGCGGAUAUAUUCACUAAACCACUUGAUGAGAAAGUGUUUUGCAGGCUGAGAGGAGAAUUGAACAUCAUUGAUGCUUCGAACUUGGAGUAGAAACUCCAUUGGAUACAUGCAAGACAUGAGCUUAUGACUAAUCCAUGAUAUAUCUCUUAUGACAACUAUCUUAUGUCUUGGAUAUAUUUGAACCUUGCAUGUUAUCUAACCCAUGUAGGUGCUUGGUUGAAUCUAAUUCCAUGAGAUUGCGACUCACUCACAUCUUGAGCAAUCUCUACAAGACCAAGACUCUACACAAUAGUGGUUGAAGACAAGGAAGCACAAAACCAUUCAAACAUAUCCUUUGACAAAUUCUAUGUUAAGCUUCAUGAUUGUCAUUUUUGGAUACACAAGUGCUCUUCCUUGCAAGAACUAACCCAUGUAGGUAGAUGAACUCAAACUCCAAGUGGUGCUCCCAACUCUUGAUGAGUUACAUCAACCUUGAGCACCCACACAAGUUCAACUACAUGAGCAAGAACCACACCACCACCCAAGGUAUGUUAUUCCAUCUUAGAGAAGCUUUACUCCAAGACAUGAGUCAAAGCAACUCAACAAGAUGUGAAUACAUCAAGAUGCUUAAACGAAAGAUGGUAACCCCAUUUUGAGCUUAAACGAUGAGUAUGACCUAUGAUCAAGUGUUCCCACUUGACUCCUAAGUCAAUAUACUCUAACAUAGGUGACUAUGUCACCGCCCAACUCUAGAUGAAGCUCUCUUGUGUUCUUUCUUUGUGUUAUUGCAUUUGUCUCAUGCAUGUUUAUUUCCUCUCUCCUUUUUCAAAAAAAACUUCAUCUAGAUCUUUCAGUUUCUUCUCUUUUCUCUUUGUUUUUGUUCUGCAUUUUCUGCACUUAAUUCCUUGCAAAUCCUUCAGGAAAUUCAUUGUAAAUCUUUGUGAGAUCCUACAUGUCUAGUGAGCUGAGGUGACAAGUGUUUUUCUCUGUGUAAACUCGGUUUCACCGACUUGCAAUUUUCGGUCCAACCGAAUCUUUUCGGUACCACCGAAAUGUGCCACUCGGUGCCACCGACUUUGCAAUCAGAAAAAUAGAUUGCCACUUGUUCUACAUUUCUUCUGAUCCAGCUCCACUCAAUGAAUCUUGUCCUCUACAAGCAUCACAAUUUUAUCCUCUGCUUUGUGCUGAAUCUCAAGGACCAAACCUAGUCGACGGAUUCCAGGAAAAACCUUCUUGGAAAUUGAUGUCAAAGGGGGAGAAAGAGAUCACAUCAAAGCUCAAGGGGGAGAGAAUACUCAAGGAUCCCAGAUGCUUGAUGUUCAAGAGGAGAGAUACCACAUGUCCUUUUGGGGGAAAGACAUGUUCAUAUGUACUCAUUUGAAUUAAGUUCCAUUUGUAUCUUUCAGCUCUGAUUUUCUGUUCCCUAUCUUCUCCCAAUAUCCCAUGUAAGAUUCAGGGGGAGCAAGACACCUAAGGGAAAGAAAUCAGUCAAAUUCAUUGCAUAUCUUUAUUUUUGGGGACAUGUUGAAUUCAAUGUGGUACCUUGUACUCACUCUCUACAUGUCAUCCCAGUCUUGGUAUUCUUGUGGUUUCUUUUGUUUGCUCUGGCUAGUGGAUGUACCUGUGUUAUCUAACCUUGUUUGUGCAGGUUCAUUGCAUCCUAAGCCAACUCAAGACCACAAGGUAAGUAUAUGCAUCAAAAUCAUGAGUAUGAGGAGUUCUUGCUUAUGUACAUACUGUUUGCAAGGACUCAUGAGCAUGAAGGUAUUUUCCUUGAUAAUCUUUUGCUCUGAUGCAUAUGGCCAAGAUGCAUGUAACACAUUGCCUACUCUGUCAUGGUUAUGCUCUCACAUGCCUCUAUAUUUCAUAUUUACAUGAGUGCAUACAUGUAGGGGGAGCCUAUGCUUGUUACAUGUCCUUCCAAAGCUUUACUUGAUGUUCUUUAUAUCUUUAUCUAAAGCUUUGAUGUAUGUUGCCAUCAAUUACCAAAAAGGGGGAGAUUGAAAGCAAAAGUGCUCCCUAGGUGGUUUUGAUAAUUGAUGACAACAUAUCUCUUGUUGGACUAACAUUUCGAUCUAGCAUGUUUCAGAUAAGUUCAACAAUGGAGUGGCAUGGACUAAAGGUUGUGGGAACUCCUUCAAGAUGCUAAGGACAAAGGAUUGGCUAAAGCUUCAAGCUCAAGACUCCUCAUUUUAUAUUUUAGUGAUCCAAGAUCACAUUGAGUCUUUAGGAAAAGCCAAUACUAUCAAGGAGGGAUGAGGUGUUGCUUAAUGAGCCUCUUGCUUCAUGUGCUUAGUGAUAUGCUCCAAAACCCUCAACUACUUUCCCAUAUCCACAUAUGACCUAAACCCUAAGCCAAACUCGGUCCUACCGAUUCUUCCUAUCCGACGCCACCGAGUUUCACUUGUCAUAAGCCACUGCCAAACCCUAGCAAUUCGGUUCUACCGAUAGGGAUCUCGGUCUCACCGAGAUGGGAUUGCAAACUCUCUGUUUCCCUUUCGUAACUUUUCGGUCUCACCGAAAGAGCGAGUCGGUCCCACCGAGAUUGCAAUGUAAAUUCAGUGUUUCCCCUUUGUAACUUUUCGGUCUCACCGAAAGAGCAAAUCGGUCCCACCGAGUUUGCCUGACCAACUCUCUGGUUAGCUAAUUACCAAAUCCGGUCUCACCAAGUUUGUGUAAUUGGUCUCACCGAGAUUACGUUAUGCCCAAACCCUAACCAUAUCGGUCCUACCGAGUUGCAUGUCAGUCCCACCGAAAAUCUCUAACGAUCACUAGGUUUACAUUUUCGGUCCGACCGAGUUUGUUGAUUCGGUCCCAUCGAGAUUGGAAAAUUGUGUGUAAUGGUUGGAUUUUGUGUGGAGGCUAUAUAUACCCCUCCACCUCCUCUUCAUUCGAAGAGAGAGCCAUCAGAACACAUACACCAUUCCAACUCAUAUGUUCUGAGAGAGAACCACCUACUCAUGUGUUGAGACCAAGAUAUUCCAUUCCUACCAUAUGAAUCUUGAUCUCUAGCCUUCCCCAAGUUGCUUUCCACUCAAAUCUUCUUUCCAUCAAAUCCAAAUCCUAUGAGAGAGAGUUGAGUGUUGGGGAGACUAUCAUUUGAAGCACAAGAGCAAGGAGUUCAUUACCUACACACCAUUUGUUACUUCUUGGAGAGUGGUGUCUCCUAGAUUUGCUAGGUGUCACUUGGGAGCCUCUGACAAGAUUGUGGAGUUGAACCAAGGAGUUUGUAAGGGCAAGGAGAUCGCCUACUUCGUGAAGAUCUACCGCUAGUGAGGCAAGUCCUGUGUGGGCGAUGGCCAUGGUGGGAUAGACAAGGUUGCUUCUUCGUGGACCCUUUGUGGGUGGUUGCUUCUUUGUGGACCCUUCGUGGGUGGAGCCCUGUGUGGACUCGCGCAACCGUUACCCUUCGUGGGUGGAGCCCUGUGUGGACUCGCGCAACCGUUACCCUUUGUGGGUUGAAGUCUCCAUCAACGUGGAUGUAGGAUAGCACCACCUAUCCGAACCAUGGGAAAAACAUCCGUGUCUCAAAUUGCGUUUGAUUUCUCCAAACCCUUCCCUUUACAUUCUUGCAAGUUGCAUGCUUUACAUUCCGCUGCUCAUAUACUCUUUGCAUGCUUGCUUGAUAUGUAUUGUGUGUGUUGAAAUUGUGCCUAAACUCCACUUAAACUGAAAAAGCUUAAGAAUUACAACUUUAGCAUUAAGUGUCUAAUCACCCCCCUCUAGACACAUCUACUUCUAGAUCCUACAAGUGGUAUCAGAGCUUUGGUCUCCAUUGCCUUGGUUUCAUCACCAUUGGAGGAAGAUGGAUGUGUCUACAUUAGGGAGUCUUAGACAUAGAGUGCCUAUUCUUGAUGGAGAGUAUUUUCAUGAGUGGAAAAAUGAGAUGCUUGUAAUCUUCAAUCAAUAUCAUUUGAACAAGUAUAUUGCUAGCCCUUGUGAACCUCAUAUUGAUCCUUUGCAUCCUACCCUAGAUAAAGAUAUUGACAUGAUUCGCAAUCUUAGAACUAUUGAGCUCAUCAUUAGAGGAUUGCCCAAAAAUUUGAUUGCUAGUUUGCCUACUCAAAAUUGUGCCUAUACUAUAUGGAAAUUUCUUGAGGAACGAUUUCCCGAUCAUUCCUUGAAAAGUUUGGAUGAAAUUCUCCAUAAAUCUAUUGCCUUGAGUAAGAUGAACUCUAGUGAUCCUAGUUUUGGUAAUUGUCUAUCUGAACUUACCAAUCUUAAGCAUGCUAAAGGAGAUGUUGGAAUCAUUAAUGAUAUCAUAUUCAAAGCUAUAAGAAUUCAUAAAAGUGACCACUUUGAUGAUCAUUUAUCUAAUGAAUUACCCUCUCUAGGAAAUGAUGAGUCACAAGAUCAUGAUGAACAUGAAUAUUAUGAUGAUGAUGAUAGUGACUUCGAUCUUGAUGAUGCAAUGAGACAUUUUGGUCUUAUGGCAAAUCUUCGGGGAUAUGAAUCAGGAGGAAAGGAAUGGGUUCUUGAUAGUGGAUGUACUGAUCAUAUGACCGGAGAUGAAGAGAUGUUUCGUGAGCUUGCUGAAAAUGACGGCCCUCGAAAAUAUGUCACCUUUGGUGAUAAUUCAAAGGGUAAAGUGGUUGGCCUUGGUAAGGUGGCCAUCUCACAUGAUAGUUCCAUUCAAAAUGUCAUGCUCGUUGAAUCUCUUGGCUACAACUUACUUUCAGUAUCUAGACUUGCUGAUUUCGGUUUGAAUGUCCUAUUUACUAAGGUAGAUUGCCAAGUAUUUCGUCGAGACAAUCAUAAAAUGGUCUUUACGGGUAUGCGUAGAGGUGAUCUUUACAUUGUCGAUUUCUCUAAAAAGGCACAACCUAAAACUUGCUUUGUUGCUAAAUCCUCAAAAGGUUGGUUGUGGCAUAGACGACUAGGUCACGUUGGCAUGAGAAACCUUGACAAGCUUAUUAAAGGAAAUCAUAUCCUUGGAGUUAACGAUGUCAUAUUUGAUAAGGAUAGACUUUGCAGUGCUUGUCAAGCAGGUAAACAGGUUGGAGGAAGACAUCCCGUGAAGAACAUCAUGACCACAAGGAGGCCACUCGAGCUACUACACAUGGAUCUUUUUGGUCCCAACGCCUACAAGAGUCUCGGUGGAAAUUCUUUUGGUCUAGUUAUAGUUGAUGAUUUUUCAAGAUUUACGUGGGUGUUCUUUCUUCAUGACAAGUCGCAUGUCCAGAAGAUCUUCAGAAACUUCGCUAGGAAGGCCCAAAAUCAGUUUGAUGUGAAGAUCAAGAAGGUUCGGAGUGACAACAGAACGGAGUUCAAGAACGCAAAUGUGGACACCUUUCUUGACGAAGAAGGGAUUUCACACGAGUUCUCGGCUACGUACACACCUCAACAAAAUGGAGUUGUUGAGAGAAAGAACCGGACGCUCAUCGAAAUGGCAAGAACGAUGCUUGAUGAAUACAAGAUGCCAAAGCACUUUUGGGCAGAAGCGGUUGAGACAGCUUGUCACGCAACAAAUCGCUUAUAUCUUCACAAGCUACUCGGCAAAACGGCAUACGAGCUUCUCACCGGUAACAAACCCCAAGUUGGAUACUUUCGAGUAUUCGGCUCAAAGUGCUACAUUCUUGACAAGCAUCGUCGUUCAAAGUUUGCUCCUAAAUCUCAUGAAGGUUUUCUACUUGGUUAUGGCUCAAACUCUCACACUUACCGUGUCUACAACAAUUUCACCUGAAAGGUUGAAGAGACGGUAGAUGUGAAGUUUGAUGAAUCUAAUGGCUCGCAAGUAGAGCAAUUGCCAAUUGAUGUAGGAGACAAAGACCCUUCAGAAGCAAUUCAGGACUUGUCCAUUGGCAAAAUUCGCCCAACGGAGGUAAAGGAGAGUACUUCAUCCGUCCAAGUGGAAGCUUCUACUUCACGACAAGGUGAACCAAGAAUCGACACGGAAGCAUCCACAAGUGGGACACACCAAGAUGAAGAAAACGAGAAAAUACGUCAAGACGAACAUCAACAACCUCCUUCUCCACCACGACAAGAGAACGACGACGUCAACAAUGAAGAAGGCCAAGAAGAAGAACAAGAUGAAGAAGAUGUUCAACGAAGACCCAAGCAAAAGCUCUCACGAGUUCGAGCAAGAAUUGCCAAAGAUCAUCCCGUCGAGCAAAUCCUCAAUGAUAUACAAACCGGGAGAAUCACUCGCUCAAAAACUCGUUUAGCUAACUUUUGUGAAAACUAUUCAUUCAUCUCUAGCAUUGAACCUAUGAAGGUUGAAGAAGCAUUGGAAGAUCCGGAUUGGAUAAACUCACCGAGAUUGCAAUGUAAAUUCAGUGUUUCCCCUUUGUAACUUUUCGGUCUCACCGAAAGAGCAAAUCGGUCCCACCGAGGACCAACUCUCUGGUUAGCUAAUUACCAAAUCCGGUCUCACCGAGUUUGCGUAAUCGGUCUCACCGAGAUUAUGUUAUGCCCAAACCCUAACCAUAUCGGUCCUACCGAGUUGCAUGUCAGUCCCACCGAAAAUCUCUAACGGUCACUAGGUUUACAUUUUCGGUCCGACCGAGUUUGUUGAUUCGGUCCCACCGAGAUUGAAAAACUGUGUGUAACGGUUGGCUUUUGUGUGGAGGCUAUAUAUACCCCUCCACCUCCUCUUCAUUCGAAGAGAGAGCCAUCUGAACACAUACACCAUUCCAACUCAUAUGUUCUGAGAGAGAACCACCUACUCAUGUGUUGAGACCAAGAUAUUCCAUUCCUACCAUAUGAAUCUUGAUCUCUAGCCUUCCCCAAGUUGCUUUCCACUCAAAUCUUCUUUCCACAAAAUCCAAAUCCUAUGAGAGAUAGUUGAGUGUUGGGGAGACUAUCAUUUGAAGCACAAGAGCAAGGAGUUCAUUACCUACACACCAUUUGUUACUUCUUGGAGAGUGGUGUCUCCUAGAUUGGCUAGGUGUCACUUGGGAGCCUCCGACAAGAUUGUGGAGUUGAACCAAGGAGUUUGUAAGGGCAAGGAGAUCGCCUACUUCGUGAAGAUCUACCGCUAGUGAGGCAAGUCCUGUGUGGGCGAUGGCCAUGGUGGGAUAGACAAGGUUGCUUCUUCGUGGACCCUUUGUGGGUGGUUGCUUCUUCGUGGACCCUUCGUGGGUGGAGCCCUGUGUGGACUCGCGCAACCGUUACCCUUCGUGGGUGGAGCCCUGUGUGGACUCGCGCAACCGUUACCCUUUGUGGGUUGAAGUCUCCAUCAACGUGGAUGUAGGAUAGCACCACCUAUCCGAACCAUGGGAAAAACAUCCGUGUCUCAAAUUGCAUUUGAUUUCUCCAAACCCUUCCCUUUACAUUCUUGCAAGUUGCAUGCUUUACAUUCCGCUGCUCAUAUACUCUUUGCAUGCUUGCUUGAUAUGUAUUGUGUGUGUUGAAAUUGUGCCUAAACUCCACUUAAACCGAAAAAGCUUAAGAAUUACAACUUUAGCAUUAAGUGUCUAAUCACCCCCCUCUAGACACAUCUACUUCUAGAUCCUACAAGUGGUAUCAGAGCUUUGGUCUCCAUUGCCUUGGUUUCAUCACCAUUGGAGGAAGAUGGAUGUGUCUACAUUAGGGAGUCUUAGACAUAGAGUGCCUAUUCUUGAUGGAGAGUAUUUUCAUGAGUGGAAAAAUGAGAUGCUUGUAAUCUUCAAUCAAUAUCAUUUGAACAAGUAUAUUGCUAGCCCUUGUGCACCUCAUAUUGAUCCUUUGCAUCCUACCCUAGAUAAAGAUAUUGACAUGAUUCGCAAUCUUAGAACUAUUGAGCUCAUCAUUAGAGGAUUGCCCAAAAAUUUGAUUUCUAGUUUGCCUACUCAAAAUUGUGCCUAUACUAUAUGGAAAUUUCUUGAGGAACGAUUUCCCGAUCAUUCCUUGAAAAGUUUGGAUGAAAUUCUCCAUAAAUCUAUUGCCUUGAGUAAGAUGAACUCUAGUGAUCCUAGUUUUGGUAAUUGUCUAUUUGAACUUACCAAUCUUAAGCAUGCUAAAGGAGAUGUUGGAAUCAUUAAUGAUAUCAUAUUCAAAGCUAUAAGAAUUCAUAAAAGUGACCACUUUGAUGAUCAUUUAUCUAAUGAAUUACCCUCUCUAGGAAAUGAUGAGUCACAAGAUCAUGAUGAACAUGAAUAUUAUGAUGAUGAUGAUAGUGACUUCGAUCUUGAUGAUGCAAUGAGACAUUUUGGUCUUAUGGCAAAUCUUCGGGGAUAUGAAUCAGGAGGAAAGGAAUGGGUUCUUGAUAGUGGAUGUACUGAUCAUAUGACCGGAUAUGAAGAGAUGUUUCGUGAGCUUGCUGAAAAUGACGGCCCUCGAAAAUAUGUCACCUUUGGUGAUAAUUCAAAGGGUAAAGUGGUUGGCCUUGGUGAGGUGGCCAUCUCACAUGAUAGUUCCAUUCAAAAUGCCAUGCUCGUUGAAUCUCUUGGCUACAACUUACUUUCAGUAUCUAGACUUGCUGAUUUCGGUUUGAAUGUCCUAUUUACUAAGGUAGAUUGCCAAGUAUUUCGUCGAGACAAUCAUAAAAUGGUCUUUAUGGGUAUGCGUAGAGGUGAUCUUUACAUUGUCGAUUUCUCUAAAAAGGCACAACCUAAAACUUGCUUUGUUGCUAAAUCCUCAAAAGGUUGGUUGUGGCAUAGACGACUAGGUCACGUUGGCAUGAGAAACCUUGACAAGCUUAUUAAAGGAAAUCAUAUCCUUGGAGUUAACGAUGUCAUAUUUGAUAAGGAUAGACUUUGCAGUGCUUGUCAAGCAGGUAAACAGGUUGGAGGAAGACAUCCCGUGAAGAACAUCAUGACCACAAGGAGGCCACUCGAGCUACUACACAUGGAUCUUUUUGGUCCCAACGCCUACAAGAGUCUCGGUGGAAAUUCUUUUGGUCUAGUUAUAGUUGAUGAUUUUUCAAGAUUUACGUGGGUGUUCUUUCUUAAUGACAAGUCGCAGGUCCAGAAGAUCUUCAGAAACUUCGCUAGGAAGGCCCAAAAUCAGUUUGAUGUGAAGAUCAAGAAGGUUCCGAGUGACAACGGAACGGAGUUCAAGAACGCAAAUGUGGACACCUUUCUUGACGAAGAAGGGAUUUCACACGAGUUCUCGGCUACGUACACACCUCAACAAAAUGGAGUUGUUGAGAGAAAUAACCGGACGCUCAUCGAAAUGGCAAGAAUGAUGCUUGAUGAAUACAAGACGCCAAAGCACUUUUGGGCAGAAGCGGUUGAGACAGCUUGUCACGCAACAAAUCGCUUAUAUCUUCACAAGCUACUCGGCAAGACGGCAUACGAGCUUCUCACCGGUAACAAACCCCAAGUUGGAUACUUUCGAGUAUUCGGCUCAAAGUGCUACAUUCUUGACAAGCAUCGUCGUUCAAAGUUUGCUCCUAAAUCUCGUGAAGGUUUUCUACUUGGUUAUGGCUCAAACUCUCACACUUACCAUGUCUACAAAAAUUUCACCUGAAAGGUUGAAGAGACGGUAGAUGUGAAGUUUGAUGAAUCUAAUGGCUCGCAAGUAGAGCAAUUGCCAAUUGAUGUAGGAGACAAAGACCCUUCAGAAGCAAUUCAGGACUUGUCCAUUGGCAAAAUUCGCCCAACGGAGGUGAAGGAGAGUACUUCAUCCGUCCAAGUGGAAGCUUCUACUUCACGACAAGGUGAACCAAGAAUCGACACGGAAGCAUCCACAAGUGGGACACACCAAUAUGAAGAAAAUAAGGAAAUACGUCAAGACGAACAUCAACAACCUCCUUCUCCACCACGACAAGAGAACGACGACGUCAACAAUGAAGAAGGCCAAGAAGAAGAACAAGAUGAAGAAGAUGUUCAACGAAGACCCAAGCAAAAGCUCUCACGAGUUCGAGCAAGAAUUGCCAAAGAUCAUCCCGUCGAGCAAAUCCUCAAUGAUAUACAAACCGGGAGAAUCACUCGCUCAAAAACUCGUUUAGCUAACUUUUGUGAAAACUAUUCAUUCAUCUCUAGCAUUGAACCUAUGAAGGUUGAAGAAGCAUUGGAAGAUCCGGAUUGGAUAAACUCACCGAGAUUGCAAUGUAAAUUCAGUGUUUCCCCUUUGUAACUUUUCGGUGUCACCGAAAGAGCAAAUCGGUCCCACCGAGUUUGCCUGACCAACUCUCUGGUUAGCUAAUUACCAAAUCCGGUCUCACUGAGUUUGUGUAAUCGGUCUCACCGAGAUUAUGUUAUGCCCAAACCCUAACCAUAUCGGUCCUACCGAGUUGCAUGUCAGUCCCACCGAAAAUCUCUAACGGUCACUAGGUUUACAUUUUCGGUCCGACCGAGUUUGUUGAUUCGGUCCCACCGAGAUUGGAAAACUGUGUGUAACGGUUGGAUUUUGUGUGGAGGCUAUAUAUACCCCUCCACCUCCUCUUCAUUCGAAGAGAGAGCCAUCAGAACACAUACACCAUUCCAACUCAUAUGUUCUGAGAGAGAACCACCUACUCAUGUGUUGAGACCAAGAUAUUCCAUUCCUACCAUAUGAAUCUUGAUCUCUAGCCUUCCCCAAGUUGCUUUCCACUCAAAUCUUCUUUCCACCAAAUCCAAAUCCUAUGAGAGAGAGUUGAGUGUUGGGGAGACUAUCAUUUGAAGCACAAGAGCAAGGAGUUCAUUACCUACACACCAUUUGUUACUUCUUGAAGAGUGGUGUCUCCUAGAUUGGCUAGGUGUCACUUGGGAGCCUCCGACAAGAUUGUGGAGUUGAACCAAGGAGUUUGUAAGGGCAAGGAGAUCGCCUACUUCGUGAAGAUCUACCGCUAGUGAGGCAAGUCCUGUGUGGGCGAUGGCCAUGGUGGGAUAGACAAGGUUGCUUCUUCGUGGACCCUUUGUGGGUGGUUGCUUCUUCGUGGACCCUUCGUGGGUGGAGCCCUGUGUGGACUCGCGCAACCAUUACCCUUCAUGGGUGGAGCCCUGUGUGGACUCGCGCAACCGUUACCCUUUGUGGGUUGAAGUCUCCAUCAACGUGGAUGUAGGAUAGCACCACCUAUCCGAACCACGGGAAAAACAUCCGUGUCUCAAAUUGCGUUUGAUUUCUCCAAACCCUUCCCUUUACAUUCUUGCAAGUUGCAUGCUUUACAUUCCGCUGCUCAUAUACUCUUUGCAUGCUUGCUUGAUAUGUAUUGUGUGUGUCGAAAUUGUGCCUAAACUCCACUUAAACCGAAAAAGCUUAAAAAUUGCAACUUUAGCAUUAAGUGUCUAAUCACCUCCCUCUAGACACAUCUACUUCUAGAUCCUACAUCAGCAUGCCGGUCUAAAUCCUAAGCGCGGGGGGGUCUGGGCCCAUCGCCCAUUGCACACCUGCACGUUCCGUACGCGGCCGGUGAGCAGACCUAGCAACCUCCAUUACAAAGGAAGUUGCGUUUCAUGGUCCAACUCGGCGCGCGCCGCUCAGUCGCUGAUGUCACAAAGGCUUCGACUGAUACCAUGACGUCGAGUGUCCAUAACUGUUCCCGCGUAGUUGGUUAGUGCAUAUAGGCCAGUGGCCAGACUCAGAUCAAAUACCAAGAUCUCGUUAAACGUGUUAUCUUGAAGUUACUGCGAACGCCGACCAGGGCCAGGCCCACCUCUCUCCUGGGUGGUCUCAACCUGCCCUGUCGCUCCGCCACAAAGAUCCACCCAGAGGGCCAUCAGGACAAAGGUCCUUUCAGCCCCCAAUCCGUGAAUCACUCGCGGGUACUCUUCGAGCCGACCCGUCUUUAGUCAUCACAUGUAUCAUGUAUAAGAUAUAUAACAUAUACCCGUGAUUACCUCCCUAGUGAUCACGGCCCGAUAGUAUAGCAUAUCAGAUGGACAAGAAUGUAGGGUCACUGAUGAUAAACUAGCAUCCUAUACUAGGCAUUUAGGAUGGCAGGUAAGGGUAACAACUGUAGCAACAAUGACAGGCUAUGCAGCAGAAUAGGAUUAACCCAAAGUAGUAACAUGCUACACUGCUCGGCCCCUCAAGGGGGGGGGGCUUGCCUGGUUGCUCUGGCAAGGAAGGGUCGUCAACACCAUAGUCGAACUGGGGUCGCCGGCAGUCUCGGGGUCUACCGGAAGGAAAGUAAGAGAGCGGAACACAAUAAAUAACAGAGCAAUCAAAGCAUGACAAAGCAUAACAUGGCAAUACGCGGUACUAGAGGUGACCUAAUGCAGUACGAGGGGAUACCAGCGAAGGGGGGAAACAUCCGGGAAAGUAUCCCCGGUGUUUCACGUUUUUGGACAGAUGAACCGGAGGGGGAAAGUUGCGUGUUCGCUAUGCUAGGGAUGUGUGAUGGACGAACGGGCUGCGUAUCCGGAUUUGUCUCGUCGUUCUAAGCAACUUUCAUGUAGAAAACAUUUUCAUCCGAACUAUGAUUAUUUUAUAUGAUUUCUCAAAGAUUUAAACACUAUUUCGAAAUUUUGUAUUUAAUUUUAAUCUGAAUUGACCAAGUCAAAUUUGACUGAUCAAAUGCGGAGGUGUGGCCCACAUGGCAUUGACUAAACCUAAACAAAUAAAUAAAAUCUAACUUAGUUAAAAGGGGGCCACAUGUCAUCUACACAUUUGACUAGUAAACAAAUAAGCUAACCUAAUCUAACUAAUUAGGGCCGGCCCCAUACAAACCUACGCACACAGAACACACACGCACACCACAUAACACAUGGCCAUGGCCACGCCAUGGCCAAUAGCAACGUAGUGCAGCAGGAGGGCAGAGCAACAUCAGCGGCAACUAUCAAAGGCAGCGGCAGCAGAACGCAGCAAAUAACAGCAGUACGGUGGCAGCAGCAGAGUAGCGACCUGUAGCGGCGCAAGCAGCAAGCAGGGCCGUGGGCGCGGCCAUGGAGUGGUGGGCGCUGGCGUGUGCACGGACAGAGGCAAGCAAGGGCGUGGGCUGGGUAUGUAGGCGCUUGCGGUGAGCGCGGCCAGCGGUGGGUGAGCGCAGCCAGCGGCAAGCGGGCGCGUGCGGAGCAGGGCCACGGGCGCGGCCAAGCGAGAUCGGGACGACGACUACAACCCAGAUCGAGCAAGGGAACAGGGAGAAUUGGCAGAGGGCCUCACCGUGGGUCCGACAGCGUGCUCCGGGAGGCCAGGGACGGGGUGGAGAGGCGGUGGUGACGGCGAGACGGUGACGAUGUGCGGCUGCCGGACGAAGGAGAUGUAGAUGGCGUCGGCUCGAGGACAUCCCUGCUUGAGCUAGACCCCGGGGCGGACAAAUCUAGCCGUGGCGAACCUCUUGGACAUGCUCCCGCACGCCGGAGAUGACAGUGGCCGCGACGCUGGCAGAGAGCCAGUGGUGAUUGCGAGUUUUCGAGCUCAAAAACUAGCAGAAUAGGAGGAGGGCGAUGGGGGAUCUAGGGGGAAAG
Molecule: long non-coding RNA, 19831 nt
Filed under: Triticum aestivum (bread wheat)
Lineage: Eukaryota; Viridiplantae; Streptophyta; Magnoliopsida; Poales; Poaceae
Description: long non-coding RNA (TAES_LNC001248)
Source: RNAcentral